RNAcentral lists this ribosomal RNA (255 nucleotides) under uncultured bacterium. RNAcentral's name for it is "partial 16S ribosomal RNA". It matches the Rfam family "Bacterial small subunit ribosomal RNA", at positions 96 to 354 of the family's 1533-position model. The record is from RNAcentral.
UGGCGGACGGGUGAGUAAUGUCUGGGAAACUGCCCGGUGGAGGGGGAUAACUACUGGAAACGGUAGCUAAUACCGCAUAAUGUCGCAAGACCAAAGAGGGGGACCUUCGGGCCUCUUGCCACCGGAUGUGCCCAGAUGGGAUUAGCUUGUUGGUGAGGUAACGGCUCACCAAGGCGACGAUCCCUAGCUGGUCUGAGAGGAUGACCAGCCACACUGGAACUGAGACACGGUCCAGACUCCUACGGAAGGCAGCAG